CUGGCUCAGGAUGAACGCUAGCUACAGGCUAACACAUGCAAGUCGAGGGGCAGCGUGUACAGGUGCUUGCACCAGUACGACGGCGACCGGCGCACGGGUGAGUAACGCGUAUCCAACCUGCCAUAUACUCGGGGAUAGCCCGGUGAAAACCGAAUUAACACCCGAUGAGAUUCCUUGCGGACAUCCAACUGGAAUCAAAGUUUCACGGUAUAUGAUGGGGAUGCGUCUGAUUAGCUUGUUGGCGGGGUAACGGCCCACCAAGGCUACGAUCAGUAGGGGUUCUGAGAGGAAGGUCCCCCACAUUGGUACUGAGACACGGACCAAACUCCUACGGGAGGCAGCAGUGAGGAAUAUUGGUCAAUGGGCGAGAGCCUGAACCAGCCCAAGUAGCGUGCAGGAUGACGGCCCUAUGGGUUGUAAACUGCUUUUGUAAGGGAACAAAGUUCGGGACGUGUCCCGUUUUGCGUGUACCUUACGAAUAAGGACCGGCUAAUUCCGUGCCAGCCGCUGC
Molecule: ribosomal RNA, 511 nt
Filed under: uncultured bacterium
Lineage: Bacteria
Description: bacterial SSU rRNA
Rfam family: Bacterial small subunit ribosomal RNA
Source: RNAcentral